GAUGAACGCUGGCGGCGUGCCUAAUACAUGCAAGUCGAGCGAACGGACGAGAAGCUUGCUUCUCUGAUGUUAGCGGCGGACGGGUGAGUAACACGUGGAUAACCUACCUAUAAGACUGGGAUAACUUCGGGAAACCGGAGCUAAUACCGGAUGAUAUUUUGAACCGCAUGGUUCAAAAGUGAAAGACGGUCUUGCUGUCACUUAUAGAUGGAUCCGCGCUGCAUUAGCUAGUUGGUAAGGUAACGGCUUACCAAGGCAACGAUGCAUAGCCGACCUGAGAGGGGGGACGGACAAGAUGGAACUGAGCCACGGGCCGGACGCACACGGGAGGCAGCAGUAGGGAAUCUUCCGGAAGGGGCGAAAACCAGACGGAGCAACGCCGCGGGAGUGAGGAAGGUCUUCGGAUCGGAAAACUCUGUUAUUAGGGAAGACCAAAUGGGUAAGUAACUAUGCACGUCUUGACGGUACCUAAUCAGAAAGCCACGGCUAACUACGUG
Molecule: ribosomal RNA, 497 nt
Filed under: uncultured bacterium
Lineage: Bacteria
Description: partial 16S ribosomal RNA
Rfam family: Bacterial small subunit ribosomal RNA
Source: RNAcentral